GCCACGUGAUGAGUCCAAGGCGAAUGUGAUUUCCUUUUCCUCUGGUUAUGGCCUCUGACCCCUUGCGCUUGGUCUGUAAUCUUGGUGACUGUGCAGAAGCCCCUCACUGCCGCUGUAAGGCCAGACCAACAGUAGCUGUUUUUUCAGCUGGUCUCUCUGUGCAGCGCGAUAUGUUCACAGGAGGCUUAUUGCGUGCUAAUAUGAGACCUACAGGAUGGAUCAGUACCCGAGCAGUGCGGGGUCAGUGGCUGUCACCUCUUGGAGGUUAAAAGAAGGUAUGAGCACAUAUCUUUGGUAAUCUGAUGGCU
Small nucleolar RNA from Leptobrachium leishanense (Leishan spiny toad), 308 nucleotides. Lineage: Eukaryota; Metazoa; Chordata; Amphibia; Anura; Megophryidae. The record is from Ensembl.